GAAACUACCACAUAAUUGCAUGGCCGAAGUUUGCACUAGUGGCGUGGGGCCCGCCCCACCCUAAUAAUUUGAUUUUAUAUGUACAUAUACUAUUAAUGAUGAUAAAAAAGUAAGAAACCCCAAAAAAUCCAGAAAAAAAACCCAAAAUCCAGAAAUGUUGCGUGCAGAGAGCUUUUGGCUGCAAGGAUCAGACGUCCAGAAUUUUUAUUUAGAACGAAGGCACGCCGGUGCCCGGCUUUAUAGAUAAAGCCAACCGGCCAAAUAAGAGUCUUACUGGGGAUACCAGUUUACAAUGGAGGAGCAACAAAUGAAAGCACAACAAAAACAGCCACAACCCGGCAAAAGGUAGAACUAAUGAGCACUGGGGGGCUUCAAGUUGGCGUAGAGACGCCUAAACUCUGCCGCAGUAGAGAGGAGCGCCUGGGAGAUCUUGUGGGGCGCCAUCGGGGACCAGAGCUGCAGAAAAAAGGCCGUUUUGAAAAUACAGUUAGUAGGAUGAGACAGGAACUUAUUUUCAAUAGUGUAUUUGUUACGUAUCGUCCAAAUAGCCCAACACUGUGCAGCAAAAGAAAUCCACACCGUUUUCCGAGAAAUACCCAAAAAGCCCUGAAUUCUAGCAAGAAAACUGGCA
Molecule: long non-coding RNA, 631 nt
Filed under: Brachypodium distachyon (stiff brome)
Lineage: Eukaryota; Viridiplantae; Streptophyta; Magnoliopsida; Poales; Poaceae
Description: long non-coding RNA (BDIS_LNC004348)
Source: RNAcentral